RNAcentral lists this long non-coding RNA (2819 nucleotides) under Homo sapiens (human). RNAcentral describes it as "HSALNT0165930". Lineage: Eukaryota; Metazoa; Chordata; Mammalia; Primates; Hominidae. The record is from RNAcentral.
GUAAAAUUUAGCUGAAUACUUUAGAUCUAUCAUUUCCUUUUCCUGUUGUAAGAACAUUACAUUGUGUUGAAAUUAAAGUGGAUAUAGAAGGUAAUUAGAAUAAACUGCCACAUCAUUUUUAUAGUAAAGUGGUAAUAACACUAUUGCUUUCUGUUUUUUUAAUCAGAAGGAGUAUGGGCUUAUAAUGAUGUUACUGUUCCCUGAAGCAUAUUUUGAAUGAUACGGUUUAUAUUUGCACAGUUGCCCAGGUAAUCAUUGUGAUAUUAAUUGAUCAAUUUGCUAUUUAUUUGCGUUUUAAAUCAGUACUAGUAUUUGUGCUUAAAAAUUUUGCAUAUGUUUUAUCAGAUUUAAUUUUUAAGUGUCAGAUACUAAAACAAAUAACCUUAACUUUAUUAAAUUAUAAUUUUUUAUCAUGAGGUGGUAUUCAUUUAUUCAUAUAGUUAGAACAAAAAAUAUUUAAAAUAUUGAGGUAGAAACAAAUUAGUCUCUUUUUAAUUAAAAGCCAGAUUACUUGUUAGAGUAACAUUUUCCCAAAUGAGGUAAAAUUGUUGCGACUGUUAAACUUAAGGAAAUUUUGAUCUAGGUGUGGUAUAUACCUUCUUGUGGGGUGCUAAUGAAAACAGGGAUGGCAAAAAUAUUUUGUUUGUGAGUGUAUGCAUUUAUGCUUUUUGACAACCUAAGAAACACUCUUACAUCUGAGUAUCUUUCAUGGACUAGCUGUAGGAAAUCUAUAUAAAAUAGCUUAGUAUACUGAAAGUAUGACAUAGUUUUACAUAUCUAGAUUGUGGUUGUGAUUAUAUAUAAUACUAUAAAAUAUGCUAACGUGCUGCUUAAUAAUACUAUUUGGAUUUUUUUUAAUACUGAAAAGGUCACACAGAUUGUGAUUAUUGUGUAGUGUCCAAGAACUAAGGCCUACCAUCUGUUACUCAAAUGUAUGAAAAAGUUAAGAUAAUUUAGUGAUAUAAGUGGUUUUGACACCACUGUUUUUGGAAUAAUCUAAUUAUGAUUUUUAUAAAGACUAAUAUCAAAUUUUAAACGUUUGCAAAAAUGAAACCUAAUAGUUAUACUGUUAUUUAUAUUUUUCUAUUACAAUACAGAUACUGGCUGAGAACUAAAGAUUGUGUAAUAAACGCCUGGCCUUCAGUCAUUUGGUUUUUUUUUUCCCUCGAUUGUUUGGAUAGUUAACUGGACAUCAUGUUUUAACUUGAGAAAUUAAGUUAUACAAGAUUUUGAUAUUUUAAACUAGUUUUCCUAACUGGUUGAGAUAUAUAAGAAUUUAGUAUUACAGGACUCAAUCAGGGAACUGAUUUAAUAAGAAUUUCUUAAAAAUUUGUUUAAAUAUUUUUCAAGUUCUUUUCUUCAUCUUCUACAACUUAAUUCUUGUCUGUAUGCAAAUGAGCUUCCCCAUUUAAAAUUUUGCUGUUGCAUUUUAGGCCACUAUAGAAGUUGUUUCUUUAAUUUUCACUCACAAGAAUUUGGUCUUACCAAAUUGUGUAAAUCUUUAAAAUUGUGUAUUUGGCUUAAUAUUAUAGAAUCUGAUUGAUUUAAUCUACCUUGUUUCAUUUAGUAUGUUGACAUUUUCUUGAGAAAUUUGUUAUGCCAAAUGAUUAACAUAAUAAUAUUUUAAGUUUAGAUAUGAUUUUGAAUUUACAUUUUCAAAUGCAACUUUGUGUCUGUGGCCUUUUUUUUUUUUUUUUUUUUACGAGAAACAUCUUGCCAAUUUUCAGAUUAAUCUGUGAGGAAAGUAGAUUGGUUUACUAGACUCAGUUUGUAGACUUUGGUGAGAACUGAAUUGGAGGCUAUGAAAAAAAUACCUUUUGGGCCUUUCUGAAUAGACAUAUAUACAUAAAUUAUAUCUCUUACAUUAAGUGAGGCACAUAUGUAGGUGAGAUUUUUACCUGAAUAUUAAAAGUUUAAAAGUCGUUACCUAUUCUGUUUACUUAAUAGUAUUUAAAGGGUGUGAGAGGUGUUAUGUGUUUCUGUCCCUUGUUUUUAUUCCUAUCCCUCCCAUCUAACUGUUGGUACUCUUAUCUUCCCAGGUAUUAAACUUGUAUGUUUUAAAAGCUUAUUUACUUGUUGAAAUGGUUAACUUAAUUAGUUUUUUCUUUGAAGUUUCAGCCUAAAUAUUUUCUGUUUUUUUAUAUGUCCUUUAAAUAUGAAAAUUCUACAGCUAAUCAUAAUUAGUAAUUGUACUUUUUCCCCUAUUACAAUAACUGGUUUCAUAAUAAAAUGGUAUCCCUUCAAUAACAAGCAUUUAUAGUAGUUUAUUAAAACUAAGGGUGUUAUCUAUUCAAACCAAGCAAUGCAGACUUACUGUUGACUCUGUUAAUAUAUUUUAAAAUUGCAUAUUACUAAAAUUUAAAAUAUGAUUUUGACUAGUAUUUUGGUGUAUGUUAUUUUAGAUAUUUUGAUUAUGCACUACUUAAGAAUGAAUUGUCAAGUAUGAUUAUAAAGUUGAUAUAAUAGUUAACCUUCAGUGGGAAUAGGAAUCAUUUAAUAUUGUUAGAUAUUUGUAUUAUUAGAACAAUCUCCUAUGAUUCUUACUAAUAUAGUAAUGAAUGACAGACAAUAUGUUGGCUUUCAUAUUUAAAAAUUCACAUGCAUUUCUAGUUUAUGUUUUUCUUCGACUAAAAUUCUGCAGCACUUAGGCAAAGCUAUUUUUACCAGUUGGAAAAAAAGUAAGUCAUUUCCAACCAAUUUUCCUGGCUUGUAGUAUAGAAUAAAGAGACUUGAUUUUAUUACAUUAAAGCCAAAUAUAAAAUGAUGCAAUCUAGCACACACUUGUUUGGAACUUUUCUCUUUUAAAUAUUCAGAUUAAG